UUUCCGUAGGUGAACCUGCGGAAGGAUCAUUACCGAGUUUACAACUCCCAAACCCCUGUGAACAUACCUAUCGUUGCCUCGGCGGUGCCCGCUCCGGCGGCCCGCCAGAGGACCCCCAAACUCUUGUUUUAUACAGUAUCUUCUGAGUAACACGAUUAAAUAAAUCAAAACUUUCAACAACGGAUCUCUUGGUUCUG
This 197-nucleotide unclassified non-coding RNA is filed under the name plant metagenome. Its description in RNAcentral is "partial contains small subunit ribosomal RNA, internal transcribed spacer 1, and 5.8S ribosomal RNA". The record is from RNAcentral.